Long non-coding RNA from Diachasmimorpha longicaudata, 704 nucleotides. RefSeq lists it as uncharacterized. NCBI's taxonomy places the organism in Eukaryota, Metazoa, Arthropoda, Insecta, Hymenoptera, Braconidae. The record is from RefSeq and is a predicted model, not a curated record. The transcript is spliced from 3 exons.
AACAUGAACCUCAUGCCUCGAUGAAGUGAGGGUUCGAGUCUAUCGUAUAUUGCCUAUCCUAGGUUUCCUGAAUAUUUCAGUGAAUUUUAAUAGUUAUUGGAACGGGGAGGCAUUAAUAAGAGGAAAGAAAAUGAAAAAAAAAAUCAUCAAUAAUUUCUCCAUCUUCACGAGUUUGCAGAUAAACUGAAGAAAAAUAUAUGAAAAUUGUCUGUAAAUAUUUGAAAAAUCGACAUUUACAACUUUCAAUCGAAUUAGAAUAUCGGGGAAAAUGUAAAAGAUCUAGUGUAACAUUCAUGACAGUGUAAAUAACCCAUUAGACGUGUUACAUAAUUGCAAACAAAUAAAAAAAGCAGUCUCCAAAUUCCCGGGAAUAAUUAAAUAUUAUUUGUUCAAGUAUCACAUGAGUCGGGAUUUUCAUAAACUGGCAGGGACCAGGGGGAAGGAAGGGGAAAGCCGUUGUCACGAAAAAGGAGAGGGAAACUUAAGAAUUUAUGAGGGAAUUAUACGGCAAAGGGAGCGCGUGUAGUGAUCUUUGUUUCCAAUUUUUACCAAUCACUCAUUGUCCAAUACACGAUCUAUGACAUUUGCAAAAAUACAAAUUCUGCUUCAAUGCUCUCCAGGAGUGAAGAACUCAUCAAAAUUCAAGCUCAGUAUUUUGAGAAGGACAGCAAGGUCAAUGAUGCAGUGACAAUGGUAAAUAUAUC